Long non-coding RNA from Oreochromis aureus, 3293 nucleotides. RefSeq lists it as uncharacterized. The transcript has 4 exons. Lineage: Eukaryota; Metazoa; Chordata; Actinopteri; Cichliformes; Cichlidae. The record is from RefSeq and is a predicted model, not a curated record.
AGUCCUGAAAGUUUUUUCUCGUUGAAAAGAGCCAUGUGCAGCUUGACAUAAAGUCUGAGCUCUGGAUGAGCAGAAAUGUGGAUUCUACCGCAGAACGUUUGAGAGAACGAUCAAAGUUUGGGUUUCUUUUUGUUGAGCCUGCGCUGCUUCUGCGUCCGAGUCGGGAAACAAAGACACGGCAGGCUCAAUGAAGAAUGCCAGGCUGCACAGCUCUCUUCCUCUCAGCAUUAACAGUGACUCUCUUCUGUGCUGUAGUCGGUCAGACUAAAUUCACUGUAAGUGCAGAACAGGAGGUCUACCGUGCAGAAGAAAACACUAACGUCACAAUGAUCUGGCUGCUCCAUUAUGACACCAACAGGCCUCCUGACUCCCUGCUAAUAGACCUAAUGAAUGUGAUAAGGACGACACAGAUUUUCUUCUAUAACAGUGACACUGACACUGAAGUGUACCCAGAUGAGAACUACAGAGGGCGACUACAUUGUGAUCCACGGCUAGCCAGGAAAGGAAGGCUUGAAUGUCUUUUAACCGAUGUAAGGCUUAACGACACGGGGACAUAUGACUGUAUGAUUGUCCUUAACAGAGAAAGUAGCUACAAAACAUGUGACCUCAAUGUUAAAGCUGCCUUCAAGAAACCUGUGGCAGAGACAUCGACACCAGUGAGGAGUGGGAGGAGCAGCCUAUAUGCAGUGCCAGCUUUGUUUAUAGUGGCGAUUUUUGUACUUUUUUGUAAAUAACUGCUGUGUAUUUAUGUGAAGUAGCAGCCCAUUACAGAUCACUCCUGAGGUCAGCUCUGACUGUAAUGAGGCUGCUGACAUUUUUUUUAAAGUACUGUCACAAUUCCUCAGAGCUGUACCACAGAGCAGUGCACACUUACAUCAUCCUUCACUCUCCCAUAUUUAACACAAACUUAUGCACUUUUAUUCCCUAGUUUGUUUGUUUUUUUCAAUGAUUUUUCCAUUAUUUUUACACCCUGACUUGCUGCAUCCCAUGUUGUUAUGUUUAGACUAAAACAUGUGGAAAAGAGAAGUUUAAUCAUCACUUUACCAAAAACACUAUUUAUCCCAAAUCUGAAACAUGUUCGUUCAUCCUCGCUGGAUUGUUAUUCACACCACAAUAUUGUCAUUAUUCACACAAUGUAUUUAUUUUUCAUUGGUACACUGUGUGGCUAGCACAAAUGCUAACCAUAAACUGAAAGUAAAAGGGUAAGCAGCUGCUUUGUUAUAGUUCUUACAGUUUUAAUGCUACCUCAGCUUUAUAAGUUUAUGUUUUUGUACUGAAGGAGUUAAAAAUAUAAUUAACUCUGGUGCUAAUGGAGCUCCUUCAGUUUACAUAGAAGUGUUUUUGUAUCAGCUUCUGUUUCCAAACCAUCUUCUUCUAUGGAGCAGUUUAGACUUUAUAAAGGUUUAUGUGCAGCUCUGCUUCAAAGCUCAACAUGGUCAAAAUAGUUUGCCGUUUGUCAUUAAUGCAAACUAGUGUUAUGAAGUUCACCGAUCAGUGUUUAUCCAUCAUUGAUCUUAAGAAGAAUGCACUUUGCUCACAGCUGAUGACAAAGACUUGAUUGGAAUCAGUAAUUUGAUGAAUGUUUUUUUUUCCUUGACAUGUUUCUACCUCAUAUUAUCCACUUUACAUUGGUCCAGAGGAGUCGUCCAUUACAGAUUGCCUCUCAGUUAACCUCUUUCUGUAAUGGCAUGUUAAUAUUAACUGGGAUUUCCUGUCCAGAUUUUAAUCAUCCACCAGACACUGUAAUGUCUGCUGGACGUUUUUUUCAAGUUGUUGGUGUGACCAGAGAGGUGCAAUGAGUGAGAUUAAUUACUUAGUGGAAUAUGUUUUACCUCACGUUUUAUCAAAGGGAGCUUCAUUAAUUCAUAAGAUUAACCAAUAAGAUGCUCUCUCACCUUAUUUGUUGCCGUUAUACUUUCUAAUAACCUUUUUUUGGUCUCUGACUGGGGUGUUAGAUUUUUCUGAGCAUUUUGUUGAACCAUAGUAAAUCCCUCUGGUCUUAAUUCCAGUGUUAGAUCCUCGAGGUCUUUAUUCCAUCACCUUUUUGUAAUCAACUGAAUGAACACUGAUUUAAAAAAAAAUGAUGGCACAUUGUUUUUCAGAAAUUUCAGAGAAAAGCAGCAGAACAGCAGGAAAGUUUCACUGAGUUUCAGUGAAAGUUUCAGAUUAAUCUGUGGCAUGUCUGCUUGAACUGUAGUGUCAUGGUGUGUCCAGUUCCUUUUUUAUAAACCUUCGAAACUGGACCAUCAUCAUUAGCAGAGGUUGACAACGAGAUCGACCCUCACACAUACCUCAGCCUCAGUUAUUUGUUUACCAGCAAAACUGGAGACAGGGUUUGAGAACGAUGCACUAAAUGGGAAAGGAUCCACAAUUUGUGGAGGUUUACUCAAACAUAUCUCAGCCUAAGCUGUCUUUAUUAGUUUUGAAAAAUAAAAUACCUCAAACCUUCUGAGAGAAAGCUGAUCUGUCACCAACUUUAUUGGGAUGUGGAGAUUGUGAGGGUGCACUGCAAAGUGGGUAGACUCUGAGGGCACUGAUUUUAGGAGUUUGUAGAAGUACAGUACAUGAUCAACUGUAAAACUGUACUAACAAAAACUGUAUAAAAAUAAAGAGACAUGUCUAGAUCUCCUUUUCAGGAUGAGAAGUAACAGGAGUUCAAGUGAAACGAUGCAACAGAAGACGGGUUAUGUAAUAUUAUUACUGGUAUAACUGCUCUUAUAUUAUUAUAUUAGAUUAUUAUUAUUAUAACUAUGAUAUUAGUAGUAUUAUCAUAGUUUAAUAGUCUGAAUUGUUUUCAAAUCUUUAUAGAAAGGAUAAACAACAGCCACUGGAUGUUUUUGUCUUCUCACAGGAGCUGAAGAAGAAAUACAGAUUACAUGACUGGAACAACGUUUAAACUGUUUUUGUGUAAAAUUGAGUAAUAGUGUCUCUAUUACUGAUGAAUCCCAAAUUCACUAUGACCACAAUCAAUAAUUUGUAUUACAUUUUUUUUAGGCUCAUUUGUCGUUUUCUGUGUUUUGCAUAAUCUGAAACAAGAUUCAGUCUUGUUCCAGAUUUGUUUUCAUUUUGCACUGAAACUGAAUAAGUUUUUAUCCACUAAACAAGUGCCCAUUCCUCAAAGAAAACACCUGUUUGUACCUAUUUGACAGAGUUAUACAGUUAUGAAUGUGUCUUUUUCAGUGGCUGUCUGUUUUUUUACAACAGAUUAUUCAUUGCAUUAUGACUCAGAGCUGAGGCGUUAAGUACAGUGGCAAUUUUCAUUAAUCAUUUCUAAAUCCAAACAUAUGACUAAC